This 582-nucleotide long non-coding RNA is filed under the name Medicago truncatula (barrel medic). RNAcentral describes it as "long non-coding RNA (MTRU_LNC001751)". Lineage: Eukaryota; Viridiplantae; Streptophyta; Magnoliopsida; Fabales; Fabaceae. The record is from RNAcentral.
UUUGAUUGUUCAAUUUUGUCGUUCCAAAUUGCCGCAAUUUCCAAUUAUCGUGAGAAUUGUCGUUGUUUCUAGAACCGCGUCAGGUAUCGUGACUUAUUUUUUUUAUUUAAGCAGCCAACCUAAUAAAAUCUGUUAACACGCAUAGACCUGUCUCACUAUCAGCAAAAGCCUUUAAGUCCAAAUAAAAGAACAAAAGCCUCAUCACAUAACCAUUUCAGCAGCAACCAAAAAAAUGCUAGCAAACUCCCACAACAUCACAGCGGCAACACCUGCUAGCAGCCCUCAAAGUACAACGGAUGAUUUACUCAAUUGUUAUAAUUAACUACCUCACAACCAAGAAAAAUCAAAUCAAAAAGAAAAAUCAAGUCAUCAUACCUGACGUUGUACUGGAAAUAACGGCAAUUCUCACGAUAUUUGAAAUCAUGACGAUUCUCACGAAAAUUGAAAAAUGCGGCAGUUGGGAACGACAAAAUUGAACAAUCAAAAUGGGAGGAAUAAAUUUUAUGAAUAUAACUGAUAAAUUUAAGGACAUUCAGAUGAAAGAAAUUUGAUGUGAAAUUUUAAUUGUUCUAAGCCAGUCCU